AAAAAUUUAAAUAAAAAAAAAUUUUUUGGGAUGGGGUCUGGCUAUGUUCCCCAGGCUGGCCGUGAGCUCCUGGGCUCAAGCGAUCCUCCCACCUUGAUCUCCCAAAGUGCUGGAUUACAGGAGUGAGCCACCACUCCCGACCUCAAGCAGCCUUUUGUAGAGCCUUUUUUGUGGAGAGACUUAAGCCUCCCACCAACAACCAGCACUGAUUUGCCUGCCUGGUUUAUUAAUCCAGCCUAUAAGCUUCUCUAGACCUAGGACUAUGGUGCCUGCACAGAAGAUGUGCUCAACAUAUAACUGAUUAAAUAACUUAAUGAGUAAAUGAAGGACUGGACUCGUUUGUGGGCCAUAUUUGGAGGUGACUUUGUAAACUCUAACAGCAUGGGAUUUUAAUAAGCUGUCUUCAUAGCUUGGACCAUGGGCUUAGGACAGUGUUGGGUACGUUAUUGAUGAUCAAGGAAUACUGAAGAGCUGUUUUCCUAUUUUGGUGCAGAUGUGGAGAGAGGAUUGCUUGAGACUCUUCCCAGCUCUUGAGAUUCCAUGUAGGUUGUGAACACUGAGGAGUGUGUGGAGCUUAUGUCUGAACUUCACCUCUCUAAUGUGACCAUCCCUGAAAUGAAAAGAAAACCAGUGCUAAAUGGAAAUACCUUCUUUCUUUCCCUCCCACAGCUCGUGCAUAUCUCUUCUACACUCAAUCAGCAUCUCUAGAGGAGGUGCCAGCUCUCUCAACAAGUAAUUCCUUUUGGCCCCAUCACAGAAGGGAAGUACAAUCAACAGCAAUGAAGCUUCUUUAUUCCUUGCUAAUUUAGUGCCACGACACAUGAUAUGCACAGCUUUGUGAGUGGGAGGGUUUCAAAGCAGGAAGCUUUGGAUCUGACUUAGGGAGGCUGGUUAUCCACUUACGAUACUUGACUUAGCAGAAGCCAGUCUUUGUGAAAGCUGUUAUGGGGCCCCCUGCUGGCAUUGUGACAUGGAGACACUUCAUCUUCAGUGAACCUACAGUUCCCUCUGGGAAGCUUCAAGUUCAACAGGGCUGUGGACUUGCAGAGAUUCUUGCUGUAGGCUAGGAAAGUAGAUUGUAGUACUAGUACUACUGCUAGUACUACGUUUUCUACUAUCUUUGGGUUUCUUGGGCCACUUUGAAACUCUAACCACAGUGUUUUCAAACUUGCAAUGGUAAAAUGCAUUGUAAAUAAAAAUUUUAACUU
RNAcentral lists this long non-coding RNA (1208 nucleotides) under Homo sapiens (human). Its description in RNAcentral is "HSALNT0242810". The record is from RNAcentral. Lineage: Eukaryota; Metazoa; Chordata; Mammalia; Primates; Hominidae.